AGAACGAACGCUGGCGGCAGGCUUAACACAUGCAAGUCGAGCGCCCACUUCGGUGGGAGCGGCAGACGGGUGAGUAACGCGUGGGAAUCUACCCAUCUCUACGGAACAACUCCGGGAAACUGGAGCUAAUACCGUAUACGCCCCCCUUUAGAGAUAUUGGGCGGGGAAAGAUUUAUCGGGGAUGGAUGAGCCCGCGUUGGAUUAGCUAGUUGGUGGGGUAAAGGCCUACCAAGGCGACGAUCCAUAGCUGGUCUGAGAGGAUGAUCAGCCACACUGGGACUGAGACACGGCCCAGACUCCUACGGGAGCAGCAGUGGGGAAUAUGGACAAGUGGGCGCAAGCCUGAUCCAGCCAUGCCGCGUGAGUGAUGAAGGCCCUAGGGUGUAAAGCUCGUUUCGCCGAUGAAGAUAAUGACGGUAGUCGGAGAAGAAGCCCCCGGAUAACUCGCGCCAGCAGCCGC
This 460-nucleotide ribosomal RNA is filed under the name uncultured soil bacterium. Its description in RNAcentral is "bacterial SSU rRNA". It matches the Rfam family "Bacterial small subunit ribosomal RNA", at positions 26 to 518 of the family's 1533-position model. The record is from RNAcentral.